GUUUUUAUGUGCUUUUUGGAUGCUUCAAAAGCAUUUGACAGGGUUAAUCAUAGAAAACUAUUCUUGAAAUUAGCCCAAAAAGGUGUACCCAGUUAUGUUGUGCGUUUGUUAGUAUACUGGUACUCACAGCAAACAGUGCAAAUAAAAUGGGGGAACAGUGUAUCUACCCUUUUAAAGUGAGCAAUGGGGUCCGACAAGGGGGUGUUUUGUCCCCAGUGUUAUUUAACCUGUAUCUAGAUGAACUGUCUACUAAACUCAAAGCCUGUCACACUGGCUGUGUCUCUGGAAGAACUGUUAUGAAUCAUUUUUUGUACGCAGAUGAUUUAGUCGUGUUUAGUCCCAGUACGGCUGGUCUACAGCAGCUCCUCAAUAUCUGCUCAACCUAUGGUCUGGAACAUGACAUUAAGUACAAUAGUUCGAAGAGUGUGGUUAUGAUUUGUAAAACCAAGGACGAUAAGAACUUGACAUUUCCAAACUUUUGUCUGUGUAAUGAUGUUUUGCACGUUGUCACCAAAAUCAAGUACCUUGGGCACAUCAUCACUGAGGACUUGUCUGAUGAUGAUGACAUUUAUAGACAAUGCAGAGUGUUGUAUGCCCAGGCUAAUACCCUGGCACGGAAGUUUGGCUGUUGUACAGAGAGAGUGAAGCUGACUUUAUUUAAAGCGUACUGUACUCCCUUGUACACAGCUCAUCUCUGGUCUCAUUAUAAGAAAGCCAGCAUGCGUAGGCUCCAGGUGGCCUAUAAUGAUGCUUUGCGUGUGCUUUUGAAGAAGCCGAGAUGGUCAAGUGCCACAGAAAUGUUUGUCAAUGCCAGAGUAAACACUUUACAGGCCGUGCUUCGAACUUUGAUGUACAGCUUUAUGUGUCGAUUGAACAUGUCUGAAAAUUAAAUAAUAGUGUCCCUCACGAAUAUAAAAUGGAGUGCGACACGUUAUCAAUCUGACUUGUGGAGACAUUGGCAUGAUUGUCUUUUUAAAAUGCCAUCCUAAUUGUAUGUCUUGUCCUUUAUUUUUAUUUUUAUGGACUACGAGUCCGGAAUAAAGUUGAAUUGAAUUGAAUGGGUCGUGUUGACUAUGUAAUACUUAUUAUAACUAAAU
This 1097-nucleotide long non-coding RNA is filed under the name Neogobius melanostomus (round goby). RNAcentral describes it as "lncRNA (ENSNMLG00000004840.1)". The record is from RNAcentral. Lineage: Eukaryota; Metazoa; Chordata; Actinopteri; Gobiiformes; Gobiidae.